AUGGCGGCCAUAGUUGAAACUUUGCUUAAAUCAAGUGUCACUAAGUUGCAAGAUGUCAUUAUGGAUGAGGCCAUACUAAUCCUAGGGGUUGAAGAAGAACUAACAAAAUUGUUGCGACGAGUGGAACUAAUUCAGUGUUGUAUAUAUGAUGCUGAGAAAAGGAGGACAAAAGAGCAAGCAGUAAACAAUUGGCUUGGUCAAUUGAGAGAUGUUAUAUAUGAAGUUGAUGAAAUCCUGGAUGUGGCUAGAUGUAAAGGAAGCAAGCUACUUCUUAACCACCCUUCACCAUCAUCAGGCAAAUCAGUUGCAUGCAAAGGCCUUUCAGUUUCCUGUUGUUUUUGCAACAUAGUGGCACGCCAUGAUGUUGCUGUUCGGAUUAGAAGCCUCAAUAAAAAGAUUGAGAGCAUUGCAAAUGACAAGAUAUUUUCAACUUUCAAUAAUAGCACACAACCUAUUGGAAAUGGCCGAACAUCAAAACUGGUAAGAAGUUCCAACCUUGUUGAGCCCAACCUUGUGGGGAAGGAGAUUCUACAUUCUACCAGGAAGUUAGUGGACUUAGUUCUUGCACACAAGGAAUGCAAGUCUUACAAACUUGGUAUUGUUGGAACUGGAGGAGUUGGUAAGACAACCCUAGCUCAGAAAAUCUACAAUGACCAAAAAUUAAAAGGAUGCUUCAAGAUGCACGCAUGGAUUUGUGUAUCACAAGACUACAACGAAGUAACUCUUCUUAAAGAGGUUCUCCGGAAUGUUGGUGUGCAUCAUGAGCAGGGUGAAACCAUAGCAGAGCUGCAGAGGAAGCUUGCAGAAGCAAUUGAAGGGAAGAGUUUCUUUCUGGUUUUAGAUGAUGUGUGGCAUUCCAAUGUAUGGAUGGAUCUAUUAAGGCCUACAUUACACAAAACAAUGUCCGGAGUAAUAUUGGUAACCACACGAGAUGACCAAAUUACAAGGAGAAUAGGUGUAGAUCAUACCCAUCGAGUUGAUCUCAUGCCAGUAGAGGUGGGAUGGGAGCUACUUUGGAAGAGCAUGAACAUAGAGGAAGAGAAAGAAGUGCAAAAUUUAAGAAACAUGGGGAUUGAGAUUGUUCGUAAAUGCGGCCACCUCCCUCUUGCAAUCAAGGUUACCGCUAGUGCUUUGGCAAGCAGAGAUCUGACGGAGAAUGAAUGGAAAAAGUAUUUGGGCAAAUAUGCUGGUUCCCAGAGCAUGCUCUCAGAUGAAACAGAAGGAGCUCUGUACCUAAGCUAUGAUGGGUUGUCGCAUCGUCUUAAACAAUGUUUCCUUUAUUGUGCUUUGUAUGCUGAAGAUUCUAUCAUUGAGCGUGAAGAAGUUACCUGGUUAUGGAUUGCUGAAGGCUUCAUCGAGGAGUGGGAAGGCCAACUACUAGAAGACAUAGCAGAAGAGUACUACUACGAGCUAAUCCACCGGAAUCUCCUCCAACCAGAUAUCUCCUAUUUUGACAUGUCUCACUGCAAAAUGCAUGACCUCUUAAGACAACUUGCACUAAACAUAUCAGGAGAAGAAUGUUUUAUUGGAGAUGUUGAAACAUUAAUGGGUGAAAAUAUGUCAAAAUUGCGACGUGUUGCUGCUGUUACUAAGAAGGAUAUGUUGGUGUUAUCUAGAGUGGAUAAGGUGGAUGUUAAGGUCAGGACUUUCCUAACUGUUAAGGGUCCACGCAGAAUUGAGGAUACAUUGUUCAAGAGAUUUCGGCUUCUUCGUGUUUUGGUACUAAAUUACACACUUGUGCAAAGCAUUCCAGAAUACAUAGGGAAAUCGAUACAUCUACGUCUACUUAAUCUUAAUAAUACAGACAUAUCUUGUCUUCCGGAAUCCGUUGGCUGCCUAAAGAACCUUGAAGUACUGAGCUUGAUAUGGUGUGAUCAUCUGCACACUCUUCCUUCGGCAAUAACCCUGUUGAGCAGCUUAAGAUGUCUUGAUCUUCGCGGCACCGAAAUAAACGAGGUUCCAAAAGGGAUAGGGAAACUAAAGUUCCUCACUUAUGUAGUAGAUUAUCCUAUUGGUGAUGGAAGUGAUGAUACUGUUGUGCAAGAUGGAUGGAAGUUGGAAGAGUUGUCUUCUUUGUCGCAAAUGAGGUAUCUUAUUCUUGCUAAACUGGAAAGAGUGGCUCCUUGUAGUACAAAUGAUGUGCUGACAGACAAGGAGCACUUGAAAAAUCUAGUACUAAAGUGGUCCAUUUUUGGAGAGGGUACAUAUUCAGAAGAUGACGUUGGCAACACUGAGAAGGUCUUUGAGCAGCUAAUACCUCCACACAACCUGGAAGGCCUAUCAAUUAAUAGUUUCUUUGGUCAGCGUUAUCCCAGCUGGUUUGGUACCACUUGUUUGUCUUCGUUAAUACACUUGAAACUCCUGGGUGUACGAUCAUGUGUGCAUCUUCCACCGAUCUGGCACCUACCAAACUUGAAAUAUGUGAAAAUUGAAGGAGCACAUGCAGUUACCAAGGUUGGACCUGAAUUUGUUGGCUGCAAGAAGGGUGAUCAUGUAUGUAAUGAGUUUGUCGCUUUCCCUAAACUUGAAUUGUUGAUCUUCUCAGAUAUGCCUAACUGGGUGGAGUGGUCUAUUUUUGAGGAAGAAGUUGCUGAUGAUGAACAGGGAGAGGAUGGAGUUGAUGAGAUUCGAAGAGAGGAUGCCCCAUCUACAAGGUUGCGACUGCUGCCUCGUUUGUUGGAGUUGUACCUCCAUUACUGCCCGAAGCUGAGGGCUCUCCCGCAACAACUUGGAAAAGACACCGCCUGCUUGAAGGAGCUCAAUUUAAGAGGACUGAACAACUUGAAGGCCAUGGAGGACCGCCCAGUGCUCUCUAAACUCCUUGUUAUUGACGAUUGUGAAGGCCUGGAGAAGGUCUCCAAUCUCCCUUGUGUGACUGAACUGCAUGUAGGUGGUUGUCCAAACUUAAGCAACGUAGCAGGAUUGGGCAGUUUGCAUCAGCUGGGGUUGGACAAGGAUAUGCAAGAGAUCUCUUCAUGCUGGGUGCAUGGGCUUCAAGAGCAGUACCAGCGACUUCAUGGUGAAGAUCUGGAUAUCUACACGCUGUUUAAGAAGUAG
Molecule: ribosomal RNA, 3057 nt
Filed under: Triticum aestivum (bread wheat)
Lineage: Eukaryota; Viridiplantae; Streptophyta; Magnoliopsida; Poales; Poaceae
Description: partial small subunit ribosomal RNA
Source: RNAcentral